Molecule: ribosomal RNA, 497 nt
Filed under: uncultured bacterium
Lineage: Bacteria
Description: partial 16S ribosomal RNA
Rfam family: Bacterial small subunit ribosomal RNA
Source: RNAcentral
GAUGAACGCUGGCGGCGUGCCUAAUACAUGCAAGUCGAGCGAACAGACGAGGAGCUUGCUCCUCUGACGUUAGCGUCGGACGGGUGAGUAACACGUGGAUAACCUCCCUAUAAGACUGGGAUAACUUCGGGAAACCGGAGCAAAUACCGGAUAAUAUAUUGAACCGCAUGGUUCAAUAGUGAAAGACGGUUUUGCUGUCACUUAUAGAUGGAUCCGCGCCGCAUUAGCUAGUUGGUAAGGUAACGGCUUACCACGGCGACGAUGCGUAGCCGACCUGAGAGGGUGAUCGGCCACACGGGAACGUAGACACGGUCCAGGCUCCUACGGGAGGCAGCAGUAUGGAAUGUGCCGCAAUGGGCGGGAGCCUGACGGAGCGACGCCGCGUGAGUGAUGAAGGUCUUCGGAUCGUAAAACUCUGUUAUUAGGGAAGAACAAAUGUGUAAGUAACUAUGCACGUCUUGACGGUACCUGAUCAGAAAGCCACGGCUAACUACGUG